UAUUGGUUUUACGGACUGAGAUAAUGGUUAACAGAGACAAACGGGGGCAUUUGUAUGGCCCCGUGAGAGGUGAAAUUCUUGGACCGUGGCCAGACAAACUACAGCGAAAGCAUUUGCCAAGAAUGUCUUCAUUAAUCAAGAACGAAAGUCAGAGGUUCGAAGGCGAUCAGAUACCGCCCUAGUUCUGACCGUAAACGAUGCCAACUAGCGAUCCGCCGAUGGAAAUUAUAUUGCCUUGGUGGGGAGCUUCCCGGAAACGAAAGUCUUCCGGUUCCGGGGGAAGUAUGGUUGCAAAGCUGAAACUUAAAGGAAUUGACGGAAGGGCACCACCAGGAGUGGAGCCUGCGGCUUAAUUUGACUCAACACGGGGAAACUCACCCGGCCCGGACACUGUGAGGAUUGACAGAUUGAUAGCUUUUUCAUGAUUCAGUGGAUGGUGGUGCAUGGCCGUUCUUAGUUCGUGGAGUGAUUUGUCUGGUUUAUUCCGAUAACGAGCGAGACUCUAACCUACUAAAUAGCUGGUACAUACUCUUAGUGUAUACAGCUUCUUAGAGGGAUUUGCGGUGUUCAGCCGAAAGAAAUUGAGCAAUAACAGGUCUGUGAUGCCCUUAGAUGUCCGGGGCUGCACGCGCGCUACACUGGCAAAAUCAACGUGCUUGUCCUACCCCGAAAGGGGCGGGUAAACCAUUGAAAAUUUGCCGUGAUUGGGAUCGGAAAUUGCAAUUAUUUUCCGUGAACGAGGAAUUCCAAGUAAGUGUGAGUCAUCAGCUCGCGUUGAUUACGUCCCUGCCCUUUGUACACACCGCCCGUCGCUGCCCGGGACUGAGCCAUUUCGAGAAAUUUGGGGACCGUUGAUUUAAUUUUUCUAAAUUACUUUGAUGGAAACCAAUUUAAUCGCAGUGGCUUGAACCGGGCAAAAGUCGUAACAAGGUAGCUGUAGGUGAACCUGCUGCUG
Molecule: ribosomal RNA, 955 nt
Filed under: Meloidogyne incognita (southern root-knot nematode)
Lineage: Eukaryota; Metazoa; Nematoda; Chromadorea; Rhabditida; Meloidogynidae
Description: SSU rRNA
Rfam family: Eukaryotic small subunit ribosomal RNA
Source: RNAcentral